CAAGUACUCCCUCCGUCCGGAAAUACUUGUCGGAGGAAUGGAUGUAUCUAGAAAUAUCUUAGUUCUAGAUACAUUCAUUUUAUUCCAUUUCUUCGACAAGUAUUUCCGAACGGAGGGAGUUAAGU
Non-coding RNA from Triticum aestivum (bread wheat), 125 nucleotides. The record is from Rfam. NCBI's taxonomy places the organism in Eukaryota, Viridiplantae, Streptophyta, Magnoliopsida, Poales, Poaceae.